UGCUGGUGUCCAACCCACAGAGAGGCUGUGC
Molecule: non-coding RNA, 31 nt
Filed under: Homo sapiens (human)
Lineage: Eukaryota; Metazoa; Chordata; Mammalia; Primates; Hominidae
Source: RNAcentral